GGAGAGGUGGCGGAAUUGGUAGACGCGCUACUUUGAGGUGGUAGUGCCGCGAGGCGUGGGAGUUCGAGUCUCCUCCUCUUCA
Molecule: transfer RNA, 82 nt
Filed under: Bacteroides sp.
Lineage: Bacteria; Pseudomonadati; Bacteroidota; Bacteroidia; Bacteroidales; Bacteroidaceae
Also listed under: 3 other names
Description: tRNA-Leu
Rfam family: tRNA
About the family: Transfer RNA (tRNA) molecules are approximately 80 nucleotides in length. Their secondary structure includes four short double-helical elements and three loops (D, anti-codon, and T loops).
Source: RNAcentral